Nothobranchius furzeri (turquoise killifish) is the source of this 258-nucleotide non-coding RNA. Lineage: Eukaryota; Metazoa; Chordata; Actinopteri; Cyprinodontiformes; Nothobranchiidae. The record is from RefSeq and is a predicted model, not a curated record.
UACCAGCCUCUGCAGCUCCCGGAUCUCCUGAACCACGGCUGAAUCCUCCCUGGCUCUGUUCUCCUCCCGUGCGUCUCCUGUUCACCCUCCAACAACCCGCCUCACUGCUCCGAACCUCCACAUCGACCCACAGCCCCGGUACCGGCUCACCUCUCCCACGCUCCGCUACAACCAAAUCUCAUGAUCCAAUCUCUAGCUCCGGAACCAGCCCAUCCCUGCCAGCCUCCGCUCACCUCUAAUAAACUAUUUUUUACUACA